RNAcentral lists this long non-coding RNA (1323 nucleotides) under Phascolarctos cinereus (koala). RNAcentral describes it as "lncRNA (ENSPCIG00000024911.2)". The record is from RNAcentral. Lineage: Eukaryota; Metazoa; Chordata; Mammalia; Diprotodontia; Phascolarctidae.
CAGCACGGGGUCCAAUCCUCAUCUCCCCAUAUGACAGUGACUCACAUCCCUCCCUCUCUCUAGACUCACUAGUAACCAGGUAACCAGGCCCAAGUCUACCCUGCGAAUCCAGGCCACAGAAAGUGAUCAUAUGCAGAUACUGGUCCCUCUGAAGACACUCAUUUCCUGACCCUCCUGAGGAGGUUCAGUGGGCCUCUGGGUUCACUUAGGGGCACCUGGAGAGCCCUGAUACAACCUCAUGUGACAACUCUGCUCCUGGCCCUUGCAGACUUAAAAUGCGGAGUUCUCCUUCAAGCCAUCUUCCAGAUGGAAACCCCCAGACAAAUCCAGGAGGACAAAAUCAGGCAGCCUGUGGCAAUCCAAAAUCCUGACCACACAAAGGUAUGCCCAAGAACCAGCUGGAGGAAUUAUUUUUCUGCCUAGGAUUCAAUGCCUGAGGUGAUGUUUCUGAAUGGGACCAGAAUCUUUUAUGAGUAGUGAUAUCAGAGAGGGAAAAGAGGAGCUAAGCUUUCCUGUGUCCCAGAGCAAUUCACCUUGCCUGUGACCUUCACGGUAUAUUGAUGGUUUCAUAAUGGACAUCCCAGAAUACAGAAUCAAAGAGAAUAGGAAAGCACGUUAUUGGUUCCAACUAUUCAAGCUUAUCCAAGCUUUUAACUUUAAAAGCCUUAGAGAAAUGACUUCUGUUUUGUUUUACAUCUCACCCGAUAGUUCUUGACAUGCAAACCAAUUAGCAUUUCAUGAUGGCAUGAAAUAACGCAGGGAGCUGACGACCCUUCUCCCCUCCCAUCCCCCUUUUGCUAACACAUGUUUGCUCUCAGUUUCUGGGUUUAUAUUGCUACUUACUGCACCUCUGUAACUUACAGCGGGUCCAAAUGAGUGCACAACAGUGCUCAGUCUUAGAAAGCCUUGCAAGGGGAAAGGCAAGGAAGGGCUCACUAGCUGUGGACAAGCUGUUUGUUUCUGAUUUUAUAACUUUUAAAUAUUUCAAAUGACUUUUUUUUUUGUAGCUGUGACUGAAUACAAUACAAGAUCACAAGAUACUAGAAGACACACCCAAAUGCUAAGCUACAUUUUUGUUCCAGCUGAGGACAAGGAAUUUUGUUGAGGGUGAGGAGGGAGUGUGGAGGGGGUGGAAAAAGGCAGGGCCCAUUAUUGUAAGGAGAUGGAAUCUGGUAUUUUUCUAAGACUUGUCCCAUUAUACUAAUGAGCAUCUGAUUCAGAACUGUAUCUCCUUUGAAGACCCCUGAGUUUCCUCCAAAUGGGCUCUGCUAAGAUUUCAUAGGAAAAAAUAAAAGGGGACUUGGUUUUCCUGCUUUGUCCUUG